GUGCAGGGCGGCAGCUAUACAUGCAGUCGAGCGGACAGAAGGGAGCUUGCUCCCGGAUGUUGGCGGCGGACGGGUGAGUAACACGUGGGUAACCUGCCUGUAAUACUGGGAUAACUCCGGGAAACCGGAGCUAAUACCGGAUAGUUCCUUGAACCGCAUGGUUCAAGGAUGAAAGACGGUUUCGGCUGUCACUUACAGAUGGACCCGCGGCGCAUUAUCUAGUUGGUGGGGUAAUGGCUCACCAAGGCGACGAUGCGUACCCGACCUGAGAGGGUGAUCGGCCACACUGGGACUGAGACACGGCCCAUACUCCUACGGGAGGCAGCAAUAGGGAAUCGUUCCGACAAUUGGACGAAAGUCUGACGGAGCCAACGCCGCGUGAGUGAUGAAGGUUUUCGGAUCGUAAAGCUCUGUUGUUAAGGAAGAACAAGUGCGAGAGUAACUGCUCGCACCUUGACGGUACCUAAACCAGAAAGCCACGGCUAAUCUACGUGCCAGCAGCCGCGGUAAUACGUAGGGUGGCAAGCGUUGUCCGAGAAUUAUUGGGCGUAAAGGGCUCGCAGGCUGGUUUCUAUAAGUCUGAUGUGAAAGCCCCCCGGCUCAACCGGGGAGGGUCAUUGGAAACUGGGAAACUUGAGUGCAGAAGAGGAGAGUGGAAUUCCACGUGUAGCGGUGAAAUGCGUAGAGAUGUGGAGGAACACCAGUGGCGAAGGCGACUCUCUGGUCUGUAACUGACGCUGAGGAGCGAAAGCGUGGGGAGCGAACAGGAUUAGAUACCCUGGUAGUCCACGCCGUAAACGAUGAGUGCUAAGUGUUAGGGGGUUUCCGCCCCUUAGUGCUGCAGCUAACGCAUUAAGCACUCCGCCUGGGGAGUACGGUCGCAAGACUGAAACUCAAAGGAAUUGACGGGGGCCCGCACAAGCGGUGGAGCAUGUGGUUUAAUUCGAAGCAACGCGCAAGAACCUUACCAGGUCUUGACAUCCUCUGACAACCCUAGAGAUAGGGCUUUCCUUUCGGGGACAGAGUGACAGGUGGUGCAUGGUUGUUGUCAGCUCGUGUCGUGAGAUGUUGGGUUAAGUCCCGACAACGAGCCGCUACCCCUCUGAUUUUAGUUGCCAGCAUUCAGUUGGGGCACUCUCAAGGUGACUGCCG
This 1152-nucleotide ribosomal RNA is filed under the name Bacillus sp. HM07. RNAcentral describes it as "bacterial SSU rRNA". It matches the Rfam family "Bacterial small subunit ribosomal RNA", at positions 33 to 1154 of the family's 1533-position model. Lineage: Bacteria; Bacillati; Bacillota; Bacilli; Caryophanales; Bacillaceae. The record is from RNAcentral.